This is a long non-coding RNA of Antechinus flavipes (yellow-footed antechinus), 975 nucleotides long. RefSeq lists it as uncharacterized. The transcript has 2 exons. The record is from RefSeq and is a predicted model, not a curated record. Lineage: Eukaryota; Metazoa; Chordata; Mammalia; Dasyuromorphia; Dasyuridae.
ACUACUAAAUCUCCAUAGAGUUGAGACAUGUUCAGGACAUAAGAGUCACUAGCUUCUCACUUUAGUGUCUCUACUGGGUGGAGUAGGAAGGGCCCUUCUAUCCAGACUGAUGCCCACUGAUCCUUGAAUUUAUUUUUUUCAAUCUCCUUAUUCCUCCCUAAGUACAACCUUCUAUCCUUUCUUUUUUCCCUCCUUCCCUUUCUUUCCUCAUUUCCUUCUUAUCCUUCCUUCACAUCUCCAGAUCCAUAACCUUCCUCAUCCUUUCUUUGUCCAGGAAUAUCCUGUCUCCCUCAACCAUCUAAGAAUUCCAGAGUCAUCAGAGGGCUGGAGCUUCAAAGAAUGAUCAUUGCUGAUGACACCAUACCUCUUUUCACUUGAGACAUCUCAUUAAGAUUUGCUUGCUAAUCAGAGAAAAACCUGAAUUGGGAACAAGGAUAUAAGCAAGACCAUCCUGAUUUCCAAAAGAAUACAGACUAUAAUUGUCCACCCUUCAAAAGACUUAUAGUCAUUAUACUUGGUGCCUAUACAAAGGGCAAAGGAGCCACCUGAAGCUGAGUUCAGCCCUCAUGGAUUCCUUUGGAACCCCAGGAAAACAAGAAGAAGGAAAGGGGAAGGGAAAUUCCAGGGCAAUGUGUUUAUUUUAGGCCCCUAUCUUUGUUCCACUUAGGUCUGCUGCCUGACUUCCUAGAGGCUCAUCCAUAAACUGUUUUUUUUAAAAUAACUUUUUAUUGACAGAACCCAUGCAAGGGUAAUUUUUUACAACAUUAUCCCUUGCACUCACUUCUGUUCCUAUUUUUCCCCUCCCUCCCUCCACCCCCUCCCCCAGAUGGCAAGCAAUACAUGUUAAAUGGGUUACAGUGUAUCCAAAAUACAAUAUAUGUGUGCAGAACGGAACAGUUUUCUUGUUGCACAGAGAGAACUGGAUUCAGAAGGUAGAAAUAACCCGGGAAGAAAAACAAAAAUGCAAACAGUUUA